Long non-coding RNA from Magallana angulata, 626 nucleotides. RefSeq lists it as uncharacterized. The record is from RefSeq and is a predicted model, not a curated record. Lineage: Eukaryota; Metazoa; Mollusca; Bivalvia; Ostreida; Ostreidae. The transcript is spliced from 3 exons.
UUGGGCGAAGAGAUUGGGUUUCUGCAGCAGACAGCGGUUUUAAUGGGAUAAAAAUGCUUUUUACUGAGUGUAUUAGGAAUAUUUGAGUGUGAACGUGUUUUUUGACAACAUUUGCGAGGAUUUGCGUAACUUUUGUGAAUUCUAUAGAAAAACCAAUUAUGUGUUGCCACCGGAAGAGGAAGUAUCUAUGGAAAAUGAUGUCGAAGAGCCAUACAGUUCAAACAACACGAGAAGAUUUUUCAGACGAAGAAGACAGUUUAACGAUAAGCAGGAUCAGUCUGUGGAGUCAGGAUCGGAUGCAAACCCGGAGCAGGUAAAGAUUUUUUAGCGCACAAGUCUUGCGCUACAACAGGGGAUCUUCACCAAGCAGAUAGUGGUAGCGAAAUUGAACUUAGCAAGGACCAAAAGCAGGAAAGUUAACUAUGCAGUACAGCAAUGAAAGUUCAUAAAGGCGUGUGUAUAUACACAUUAUAAAUUACUGCGUAUGCUAUAAAUAGUUUUACUGUAAUAACUGUAGUAACUGAAAUAAUCUGGAAGUUUUGUAAUGUUUUUAUAAUUAUUAUGAGUAUUGGGAAUAUAGAUAUAUUUCCAAAUUAUUUAUAAUUAAAUGUAUAUGUAUCUAGAGU